Equus caballus (horse) is the source of this 998-nucleotide long non-coding RNA. NCBI's taxonomy places the organism in Eukaryota, Metazoa, Chordata, Mammalia, Perissodactyla, Equidae. The record is from Ensembl.
GGGCCGGGGCGGCUGUCCGGGAGGAGCGGGCACCGGGGACGUGAUCGGGGGGAUGAAGCCGGGAUACGGGGUCAGCUUGAGGAAGACGACAGGGGACUGGGGGGCUGGGAUUAGGGACGAAGGAGACAUCAGAGAAGCGAGGACUGGGAUCUGAGACCCAGGAUGGGGAGGCGACCCUAGCGUCGCCUUUGGCUGACGCGACCUGAUGGCCACGCUGUUAGUCAAGAGGGGCAUGACUAGAGAGGCUGGUCGUAACAGGCACUUGGCGAAUCACUCAGACGUCAUAACAGCCGGCUGUGCUGUCACCGAGUCCCUGAGAUGUCAUCAAGCAGCCUCAUCGCCUAUGAACACGUCCGGGGCCCUGUGGGCUGAGGAGGGGACCCUGCCCCUGCUGCCAGUGGUACCUCAGCCCCCCUCCCAAAGGGAGUGAUGUAUUUCCAUCCAAAUCCUUCAUCAGAAGGCUCUGGAAGGCACCUUCCUGGCUACCCUCCUCCUCCUCCUCCAGGCAGCCUUCCUUGAACUCUCCACUGCCCCCUCCAGUUCCCUGGGCUCUGGCCUUUUGCACCUUCCCUCUCUGAUCUGACCCUCUCCCGUGCUGUCAAUUGGGAAAAGCCUUCAAAGUCAGGCCCUCAAAAGGACCCAUCCCUGCGCCUCUUCAAGCCUGUUUUCACUUCUCUAAAAUGGGCACAGCAGUGGUGCCUGGCCCCCACGCUGGAUGGAGCGACGUGAGCCAGGUCACGUCUGUGAUGGGCUUAGCACAAGCCGGGACACUGUGACAGCCUAAUGAAUCCUACUGGCCAGAGUACACAAGAAAUAGUUAACAGUGAGAAGUGGGAUCAGAGGGACAAGAGAAAUUUACUUUUUCAAGGUAUACUCUUUUGUAUUUCUCAAUACAUUUUUCCAAAAUAAAAAACCUUUUUAUUAUUAUUUAAAAGUUACCAUCUCUGGACUGACUUUGAACCUUAUCUGGGCAUCCUCUACCCACACCUGCUCCUUCC